CCUACGGGUGGCAGCAGUAGGGAAUAUUCGGCAAUGGGCGCAAGCCUGACGCAGCAACGCCGCGUGAAGGAAGAAGGCUUUCGGGUUGUAAACUUCUUUUCUGAGGGACGAAGGAAGUGACGGUACAUCAGUAAUGAGCCACGGCUAACUACGUACCAGCAGCCGCGGUAAUACGGAGGUGGCAAGCGUUAUCCGCAUUGAUUGGGUGUAAUGGGCGUGUAGGCGGGAAAGUAAGGCUGAUGUGAAAGCUCAGGGCUUAACCGUGAGCCUGCAUUGGAAACUGUUUGUCUUGAGUGCUGGAGAGGCAAUCGGAAGUCCGUGUGUAGCGGUGAAAUGCGUAGAUAUACGGAGGAACACCAGUGGCGAAGGCGGAUCGCUGGACAGUAACUGACGCUGAGGCGCGAAAGCGUGGGGAGCAAACAGGAUUAGAUACCCGAGUAGUC
RNAcentral lists this ribosomal RNA (443 nucleotides) under uncultured bacterium. RNAcentral describes it as "partial 16S ribosomal RNA". It matches the Rfam family "Bacterial small subunit ribosomal RNA", at positions 338 to 795 of the family's 1533-position model. The record is from RNAcentral.